AUGUAUAUGUAUUGUAAAGCUGUUCAUGGCGAGCUUGCUUGGGAGAUAGCUGAAGAGUUUGCAAGGGAGUAUGUGAGCUUGCCUUUUGAUGAUGGUAAAGUUCCUCACUUGGUCUCUGUAGCUUACAACAACAUCUGAUGAAUGAUGAUGAUGAUGAUGAUGAUGAUGAUGAUGAUGAAGUAAAGGUUCUGUUUGUUUUGUUGAUAUGGGUUUCCAAAGGUAGUGUUUUGAAAAUCUGGUCUUUUUGUAUGAUAGAGCAUGUU
This 263-nucleotide long non-coding RNA is filed under the name Capsella rubella. RNAcentral's name for it is "long non-coding RNA (CRUB_LNC002437)". The record is from RNAcentral. Lineage: Eukaryota; Viridiplantae; Streptophyta; Magnoliopsida; Brassicales; Brassicaceae.